This 253-nucleotide ribosomal RNA is filed under the name uncultured bacterium. RNAcentral describes it as "partial 16S ribosomal RNA". It matches the Rfam family "Bacterial small subunit ribosomal RNA", at positions 524 to 776 of the family's 1533-position model. RNAcentral also lists the same sequence under 1 other name. The record is from RNAcentral.
UACGGAGGAUCCAAGCGUUAUCCGGAUUUAUUGGGUUUAAAGGGUGCGUAGGCGGCUUAUUAAGUCAGGGGUGAAAGACGGUGGCUCAACCAUCGCAGUGCCUUUGAUACUGAUGAGCUUGAAUACACUUGAGGUAGGCGGAAUGUGACAAGUAGCGGUGAAAUGCAUAGAUAUGUCACAGAACACCAAUUGCGAAGGCAGCUUACUAAGGUGCAAUUGACGCUGAGGCACGAAAGCGUGGGGAUCAAACAGG